AUAAGGUGCCUCUUUACAUUUAUAAACUUCAAUGGGCACUUUCCAAGAACAAGACAUUCUUUUUUGCAAUCUUGGCCGGGGCUGGGUUUGAACCCGCCACCUCCAACAUAUGGGGCCAGGGGCCUACUCCUUUGAGCCACCGGCACCGCCUGAACAAGACUUUUUACGUUCCCACAGCACAGUUAGCAGAGGCAGGAAAUUCAGCUUGACCACAGGAAUACUAUCAUCAGUUGCCCUAACUAGGUUCAUUUUUUCUCCUGUGUCCAAGAUGAUACGCAUUUAUUUUUUCCUUUUUAUUCAUUUAUUUUUUGAGACAGUGUUCUACUUUGUGUCCUUCACUGCAGCCUCAAACUCCUGGCCUCAAGUGACCGUCCCUGUCUCAGCCUCCUAAAGUGCAGGGGUUACAGAGUCUCACUCUGGGGAGGCAGGUAGGUUGACCUCUCUUUCAGGGGCAUGCAAGGGAAAGCAGUGCAGACAUCCCAUCUUUGGGGCUGGACCAGGGAAGAUGAAAAGAGCCCGAGGUGCCAGCAGGACGGACUGUCCCUGUACACCAGAGUCAACAGGUGGGACAGGACUGAAAUGAAGCUGAAGUUGGUUAAACUGUUGGCAGUUAGAUGGGGAACCUGGCUUGCUCCCCUGCAGGGACAGAACUGAUUUUCCCCUCUCCCUUCCUAAAUAUAUUACCCACUCCCUGCCUUUUACCCAGCCUCUCUUUCCAUCCAAUCUUCCUAGGGAUUUGGGAUUCUAUUAACCAUAUCUUUUUUUUUGCAGUUUUUGGCCGGGGCUGGGUUUGAACCUGCCACCUCCGGCAUAUGGGGCCGGCACCCUACUCCUCUGAGCCACAGGCGCCACCCUUAACCAUAUCUUUUGGUAUUUUUGCAUUUUGCACAUGUGCUUUUGUUAGAAAUCAAUAAAAGCCUUUUGAAGAGGACAGAGAUUUGCUGCAUUGCCCAGCCUGCUGCUCAGCCUGAGAUAACAUAGCCUUUCUCCCCUCCCCACCCAUGAGUUCUCAGAUUCUGUGUCUUAAACUGAGUCUCACUUUGUUGCCCCUGGUAGAAGGCUGUGGCGUCAUAGCUCACAGCAACCUCAAACUCCUGGGCUUAAGCAAUUCUUUUGCCUCACCCCCCAUGUAGCUGGGACUAUGGCGUCCGCCACAAUGCCCAGCUGUAUUUUUGAGAGAGGAGGUCUCACUCUGGCUCAGUCUGGUCUUGAACUCCUGAGCUCGGCAAUCCACCAGCCUUGGCCUCCAAGAGUGCCAGGAUUACAGGUGUGAGCCACCUUGCCCGUCUUGGUGUAGAUUAUUUUUCCUCAACGUCAUUUCCCAGUUGGCUCUCAAACCAAGUCGGCAGCUUCAAGCCCAACACAUCCCCCUGGGUAGAGUGUGGUGGCACCAUAGCUCAUAGCCAUUUCAAACUCUUGGGGAAGUUCCUCUUGCCUCAGCCCCCCAAGUAGCUGAGACUACAGGUGCCCACUGUGAUGCCUAGCUAGUUUUUCUAUUUUUGUUUUAUUUUUAGUAGGCUGGUUUUGAAUUCCUGAGCUCAAAUGAUCCACCAGCCUCAGCUUCCCAGAGGGCUAGGAUUAUAGGCGUGAGCCACUAUGUCCAGCCUAAUUUUUGUAUUUUUAUUAGAGAUUUGUAUUUUUACUCUUGCUCAGGCUGGUCUUGACCUCUUGAGUUCAAGGAUCCUCCUGUCUUGGCCUCCCAGAGUGCUGGGACUAUAGGGGUGAGCUACUGCACCCAGCCUAAUUAUCCUAUUUCUUAUUAAACUUUUACUCACCAGUUUUAGCAUCCACAGAUGACUCUCUCCCUGUCAUUCCUUCUAUGUUUAUUCACUGGCAUUCUGCUGCAGUGAAGAGAUUUCCCUUCACAUCCAUUUAUUUUUUAAUUCAUUUAUUUGCAACAGUAUGGAUUUUUAUUUUCUUUAAUGGGAUAAUGAUCCAUCACAAAUAUUAUUUGCUUCGAUGCUUAAAUUGCCUCAGAUAUGACCAAUAGGAGCCC
Long non-coding RNA from Nycticebus coucang (slow loris), 1996 nucleotides. RefSeq lists it as uncharacterized. NCBI's taxonomy places the organism in Eukaryota, Metazoa, Chordata, Mammalia, Primates, Lorisidae. The transcript has 3 exons. The record is from RefSeq and is a predicted model, not a curated record.